Molecule: ribosomal RNA, 1672 nt
Filed under: Salmonella enterica subsp. enterica serovar London
Lineage: Bacteria; Pseudomonadati; Pseudomonadota; Gammaproteobacteria; Enterobacterales; Enterobacteriaceae
Description: partial 23S ribosomal RNA
Rfam family: Bacterial large subunit ribosomal RNA
Source: RNAcentral
CAGGUUUACCUGUGUGACUGCGUACCUUUUGUAUAAUGGGUCAGCGACUUAUAUUCUGUAGCAAGGUUAACCGUAUAGGGGAGCCGUAGGGAAACCGAGUCUUAACCGGGCGUUAAGUUGCAGGGUAUAGACCCGAAACCCGGUGAUCUAGCCAUGGGCAGGUUGAAGGUUGGGUAACACUAACUGGAGGACCGAACCGACUAAUGUUGAAAAAUUAGCGGAUGACCUGUGGCUGGGGGUGAAAGGCCAAUCAAACCGGGAGAUAGCUGGUUCUCCCCGAAAGCUAUUUAGGUAGCGCCUCGUGAAUUCAUCUCCGGGGGUAGAGCACUGUUUCGGCUAGGGGGCCAUCCCGGCUUACCAACCCGAUGCAAACUGCGAAUACCGGAGAAUGUUAUCACGGGAGACACACGGCGGGUGCUAACGUCCGUCGUGAAGAGGGAAACAACCCAGACCGCCAGCUAAGGUCCCAAAGUCAUGGUUAAGUGGGAAACGAUGUGGGAAGGCCCAGACAGCCAGGAUGUUGGCUUAGAAGCAGCCAUCAUUUAAAGAAAGCGUAAUAGCUCACUGGUCGAGUCGGCCUGCGCGGAAGAUGUAACGGGGCUAAACCAUGCACCGAAGCUGCGGCAGCGACACUAUGUGUUGUUGGGUAGGGGAGCGUUCUGUAAGCCUGUGAAGGUGUGUCGUGAGGCAUGCUGGAGGUAUCAGAAGUGCGAAUGCUGACAUAAGUAACGAUAAAGCGGGUGAAAAGCCCGCUCGCCGGAAGACCAAGGGUUCCUGUCCAACGUUAAUCGGGGCAGGGUGAGUCGACCCCUAAGGCGAGGCCGAAAGGCGUAGUCGAUGGGAAACGGGUUAAUAUUCCCGUACUUGGUGUUACUGCGAAGGGGGGACGGAGAAGGCUAUGUUGGCCGGGCGACGGUUGUCCCGGUUUAAGCGUGUAGGUGUGUGUUCCAGGUAAAUCCGGUUCACUUUAACACUGAGGCGUGAUGACGAGGCACUACGGUGCUGAAGCAACAAAUGCCCUGCUUCCAGGAAAAGCCUCUAAGCAUCAGGUAACAUCAAAUCGUACCCCAAACCGACACAGGUGGUCAGGUAGAGAAUACCAAGGCGCUUGAGAGAACUCGGGUGAAGGAACUAGGCAAAAUGGUGCCGUAACUUCGGGAGAAGGCACGCUGACACGUAGGUGAAGUGAUUUACUCAUGGAGCUGAAGUCAGUCGAAGAUACCAGCUGGCUGCAACUGUUUAUUAAAAACACAGCACUGUGCAAACACGAAAGUGGACGUAUACGGUGUGACGCCUGCCCGGUGCCGGAAGGUUAAUUGAUGGGGUCAGCGCAAGCGAAGCUCCUGAUCGAAGCCCCGGUAAACGGCGGCCGUAACUAUAACGGUCCUAAGGUAGCGAAAUUCCUUGUCGGGUAAGUUCCGACCUGCACGAAUGGCGUAAUGAUGGCCAGGCUGUCUCCACCCGAGACUCAGUGAAAUUGAACUCGCUGUGAAGAUGCAGUGUACCCGCGGCAAGACGGAAAGACCCCGUGAACCUUUACUAUAGCUUGACACUGAACAUUGAGCCUUGAUGUGUAGGAUAGGUGGGAGGCUUUGAAGCGUGGACGCCAGUCUGCGUGGAGCCGACCUUGAAAUACCACCCUUUAAUGUUUGAUGUUCUAACGUGGACCCGU